RNAcentral lists this ribosomal RNA (26 nucleotides) under Rosa hybrid cultivar. RNAcentral describes it as "partial 18S ribosomal RNA". Lineage: Eukaryota; Viridiplantae; Streptophyta; Magnoliopsida; Rosales; Rosaceae. The record is from RNAcentral.
UACGUGAACCUGCGGAAGGAUCAUUG